UACGUAGGGGGCAAGCGUUGUCCGGAUUUAUUGGGCGUAAAGAGCGUGUAGGCGGCCAUGCAGGUCCGUUGUGAAAACUGGAGGCUUAACCUCCAGACGCCGGUGGAAACCGUGGGGCUAGAGUCCGGAAGAGGAGAGUGGAAUUCCUGGUGUAGCGGUGAAAUGCGCAGAUAUCAGGAAGAACACCCGUGGCGAAGGCGGCUCUCUGGGACGUGACUGACGCUGAGACGCGAAAGCGUGGGGAGCAAACAGG
Molecule: ribosomal RNA, 253 nt
Filed under: uncultured bacterium
Lineage: Bacteria
Description: partial 16S ribosomal RNA
Rfam family: Bacterial small subunit ribosomal RNA
Source: RNAcentral